UUAACCUUGGUGCUGACUUCUUAGGCAAAAAAUAGAAUCAGAGUGCCCUAGGAGAUAGAUCUGCAGGCGUCUGUCUGGUGGCUGGAUAGAUGAAAACGCUCUUAAACUUUUCUAGGUUUAGAGAGUGUACCUGCCGCCUGCCUGCCCUUCAGUCCUCACCUUUAAUUACACUGAUUUGUGUCUCCAUUAGAAGGCCGCUUCCUGGAGGAGAGAACCUGUUUUCGUAUCUUCAUUUCCCUCCACGUGGUCGAGCGGCACACAGCACAUGCCAGGCUCAACAAACCUUGGAAUCAGUCAAGCAGGCCUGGCCAGAGUGGUGGCUGGCUUUGUGGAAGUCUUUCCUCUGCGUGCCCGCUCUCACAACAAUAACUGCAGCCAUGAAAGGCAAUGCCCCUGAGGGCCAAUGACAAGAGAGAGGGCAAAUGGCCAAUGGCGCUAGGGAACAGCCCCGAGGAACUGUACCCAGAACAGACCAUUGGAGAACACCCACAUUAACGUCAGUGUCUCCUACCGGCAGCACUCAGCACACAGCCUCCGAGAGACCCUGCCCACCCGUGUCUCCCAGGUCAUCCAGAGAGCUUCCAGGGAGAGGCUGCGGGCAUAAUCGGCUCCACCCAGUGUCCCUGAGAUUCUUUCCAUCCUGCAUACGGGAACUAGGAAAGUUCCAAGCAUUCCAUGCUGUUAUCAGCAGGAGACUCCCAGGCAUCUGGAAGCUCUGCAGGAGAGAGGAACCACUGCUGGUGCUGUGGCUCCUGGGCCCAGAGAAGAGAGCCAAGAAAAACCACUUCACACCGUGUGCGCGGAUUUCCUCCCGGCUGCCAGGGCGUCCGCAGGCACACAAAUCUCUCUCGGAGCAGCGUGUCUCCGGAGCCACAGACGCAGUGUUGCCUCUCCUCUUCUGUAGAUGGGCGAAGACCAUGGCACAGUCUCUGUUUCUGAAGGCGGAGAGCCCCUGAGCAGCACCUUCAGAGAGGGGGAGGCAGUCCCCCCAGCGGGGUUUGUCUCCUUCUGCCACUGCCAGUACUUCGGGGCCUCCGGGAGAGGGCUCCCCUCCGAGAACCUGAAGUUAAAGUUGCCCUUUUACACGUAAACCUUAAAGCCAAUACAUAACGGAUCAAAGUGAAUUGUCAACAUCUUCAUGGAAAAGAAAUAUGCUGUAACCUGGGGGGAAAAUUAUUUUAAGCUCAAGAAAGAACAUAUUUGAGCCACAGCUGGUCAGCCCUGAAAAUGUAAAGAGAAAGAGGAGCUGGGAGACAAAUCCGGUGUUUAACCAAGAGUUUGUAGGUCAGAGGUUGCACGGGCCUGUUCAGCGCUGGAGGCAGGUGAAAGGCUGCUUUGGAGGUGGUUGAGUCUGCCUCUAUCAAGCAUUCAAAGCAUAAACAGACGCCCUUGUUUCUUAUUCCAUGCUCUGCAAGAGACUAACUCUUACCAUCUGAUUAAUAAGUGCUGGUCACAGGACGUGAAUAUGUUGGCCCUUGGCCAUUAUAUUUCUUUCUAUUUCUAUUCAUAAAUUGUAUUAUGAGUCAUAACUGGUAGCCUGGUUUUGAAUACCAGUCUGUGGGAGCUUGAGGUGACUGUGGGAGCUGAAUCCACCAUCUGUGUGUUUAUAGAUUGGAUUUCUGAGCCUAGAGGACUGAGGACCAGAACCUCACCCUGGUGAAUGACCAAGGUAAGGCCAUAUACCAUGGACUCUCUGGAAAUUCCCUGACUGGCUGGUGGUCAGUCUCCUUCCUACUCAGACUUGUAAAGUGAUCAGACUUAGUGAGGGUUCCGUUUAUAUGCCAAGAAUUGGCAGGAUAGAAUUUUGUUUGAGAUCCUGGGCUGGACACAGACUUGGUAUAUAUUCUUUCGUUAAUUAUUAAGUUAAGCCAAUUGCCUAAUCUUUCUGUGAUUUUUCACAUCUGUGAUUUGGGGAAAAUAAAAGUGCCACCCUUAUAGCAUCGUUAGGAAGAAAGGGGCAGCAUGCUAAGUCUUCAUGUAGUGGUAACAUAAAAUGAUGCUUAAUACACAGUAGUUGCUCUUAUUUUUAGAGCCCUUACUAGAUGCCAGGCACUGUGCAUUGAUAUAUUUGCACCAAGUCAAAUAGCUGGCAAGCAGUAGAACCCGGAGUUGAGCCAGGCCAAAGCUAAUGUAUUUGACUACUAGGUUAAACUGUCUCUGAUGGUUUAACAAACAUGGCAAAACCUGCACUUCCCAAAUGCCUCUUCCCCUUUAAAGGAAUAAGUUUGGAAGACUGUGUACUUAUUUCUAAGUCUGUUUGGAAUUCCACUUUUGGGCUUACCUGAGGAAGUGAUAUAUUUUUUAAACAUUCCUAACAAGGACGGAUCUUUGCAUAAAGAGAAGAUUUAAUCUUUCUUAAUAACCAAAACUUAUUUUGUGCCAAACUCAGUAAAUAACGUGGAGAAUUGUGUGGUA
Pipistrellus kuhlii (Kuhl's pipistrelle) is the source of this 2415-nucleotide long non-coding RNA. RefSeq lists it as uncharacterized. The record is from RefSeq and is a predicted model, not a curated record. Lineage: Eukaryota; Metazoa; Chordata; Mammalia; Chiroptera; Vespertilionidae. The transcript is spliced from 3 exons.